Molecule: ribosomal RNA, 434 nt
Filed under: uncultured Ruminococcus sp.
Lineage: Bacteria; Bacillati; Bacillota; Clostridia; Eubacteriales; Oscillospiraceae
Description: partial 16S ribosomal RNA
Rfam family: Bacterial small subunit ribosomal RNA
Source: RNAcentral
ACGGAAGGCAGCAGUGGGGGAUAUUGCACAAUGGGGGAAACCCUGAUGCAGCGACGCCGCGUGAGUGAUGAAGUAUUUCGGUAUGUAAAGCUCUAUCAGCAGGGAAGAAAAUGACGGUACCUGACUAAGAAGCACCGGCUAAAUACGUGCCAGCAGCCGCGGUAAUACGUAUGGUGCAAGCGUUAUCCGGAUUUACUGGGUGUAAAGGGAGCGUAGACGGAUGGCUAAGUCUGAUGUGAAAGGUGGGGGCUCAACCCCCAAACUGCAUUGGAAACUGUCUGGCUCGAGUGCCGGAGAGGUAAGCGGAAUUCCUAGUGUAGCGGUGAAAUGCGUAGAUAUUAGGAGGAACACCAGUGGCGAAGGCGGCUUACUGGACGGUAACUGACGUUGAGGCUCGAAAGCGUGGGGAGCAAACAGGAUUAGAUACCCUGGUA